This 252-nucleotide ribosomal RNA is filed under the name uncultured bacterium. RNAcentral's name for it is "partial 16S ribosomal RNA". It matches the Rfam family "Bacterial small subunit ribosomal RNA", at positions 524 to 776 of the family's 1533-position model. The record is from RNAcentral.
UACGUAGGGCGCAAGCGUUGUCCGGAAUUAUUGGGCGUAAAGCGCGCGCAGGCGGCUAUGUAAGUCUGAUGUUAAAGCCCGAGGCUCAACCUCGGUCCGCAUUGGAAACUGUGUAGCUUGAGUGCAGAAGAGGAAAGCGGUAUUCCACGUGUAGCGGUGAAAUGCGUAGAGAUGUGGAGGAACACCAGUGGCGAAGGCGGCUUUCUGGUCUGUAACUGACGCUGAGGCGCGAAAGCGUGGGGAGCAAACAGG